AGUCAACCUACCCUAUGGACGGGAAUAAUCUCGGGAAACUGAGGAUAAUUCCAGAUAGAACACUAUGCCUGGAACGGUUUGUGUUCCAAAUGAUUUAUCGCCGUAGGAUGGGACUGCGUCCUAUCAGUUUGUUGGUGAGGUAAUGGCCCACCAAGACUAUUACAGGUACGGGCUCUGAGAGGAGUAGCCCGGAGAUGGGUACUGAGACACGGACCCAGGCCCUAUGGGGCGCAGCAGGCGAGAAAACUUUGCAAUGUGCGAAAGCACGACAAGGUUAAUCCGAGUGGUUCCUGCUAAAGGAACCUUUUGACGGUCCUAAAAACACCGUUGAAUAAGGGGUGGGCAAGUUCUGGUGUCAGCCGCCGCGGUAAAACCAGCACCUCAAGUGGUCAGGAUGAUUAUUGGGCCUAAAGCAUCCGUAGCCGGCUCUGUGAGUUUUCGGUUAAAUCUGUGCGCUCAACGUACAGGCUGCCGGGAAUACUGCAGAGCUAGGGAGUGGGAGAGGUAGACGGUACUUGGUAGGAAGGGGUAAAAUCCUUUGAUCUAUUGAUGACCACCUGUGGCGAAGGCGGUCUACCAGAACACGUCCGACGGUGAGGGAUGAAAGCUGGGGGAGCAAACCGGAUUAGAUACCCGGGUAGUCCCAGCUGUAAACCAUGCAAACUCAAUGAUGCAUUGGCUUGGAGCCAAUGCAGUGUU
This 699-nucleotide ribosomal RNA is filed under the name uncultured marine archaeon. RNAcentral describes it as "bacterial SSU rRNA". It matches the Rfam family "Archaeal small subunit ribosomal RNA", at positions 102 to 802 of the family's 1478-position model. The record is from RNAcentral.